AAAAACGGCCAGGGUUUUCUGUUAGGUACCAGAACAUCCCUAUUAUUUAGAAUAAUUUAUACUUUUGCAAACAGUAAAUUUUAUAAAUUGACUAUAUAAAAGAUAUACAUGAUAAAACUGAAGUAUAAACUAAUUACAGGAAACAACCGAAAUACAUUACAUAACCCGACAAAAUGUAACACAAAAAAUAGACGCAUCCGAAUAAGUUAAAACCUCAACGCCAAGUGACGUCAUAUUUGAAAC
RNAcentral lists this long non-coding RNA (243 nucleotides) under Mytilus galloprovincialis (Mediterranean mussel). Lineage: Eukaryota; Metazoa; Mollusca; Bivalvia; Mytilida; Mytilidae. The record is from RNAcentral.